AGAGUUUGAUCCUGGCUCAGGAUGAACGCUGGCGGCGUGCUUAACACAUGCAAGUCGAGCGAAGCAGUUAAGUUGAUUUCUUCGGAUUGAUUCUUAACUGACUGAGCGGCGGACGGGUGAGUAACGCGUGGGUGACCUGCCCCAUACCGGGGGAUAACAGCUGGAAACGGCUGCUAAUACCGCAUAAGCGCACAGAGCUGCAUGGCUCGGUGUGAAAAACUCCGGUGGUAUGGGAUGGGCCCGCGUCUGAUUAGGCAGUUGGCGGGGUAACGGCCCACCAAACCGACGAUCAGUAGCCGGCCUGAGAGGGCGACCGGCCACAUUGGGACUGAGACACGGCCCAAACUCCUACGGGAGGCAGCAGUGGGGAAUAUUGCACAAUGGGGGAAACCCUGAUGCAGCGACGCCGCGUGAGCGAAGAAGUAUUUCGGUAUGUAAACUUCUAUCAGCAGGGAAGAAAAUGACGGUACCUGACUAAGAAGCCCCGGCUAACUACGUGCCAGCAGCCGCGGUAAUACGUAGGGGGCAAGCGUUAUCCGGAAUUACUGGGUGUAAAGGGUGCGUAGGUGGUAUGGCAAGUCAAAAGUGAAAAACCCAGGGCUUAACUCUGGGACUGCUUUUGAAACUGUCAGACUGGAGUGCAGGAGAGGUAAGCGGAAUUCCUAGUGUAGCGGUGAAAUGCGUAGAUAUUAGGAGGAACACCAGUGGCGAAGGCGGCUUACUGGACGAUAACUGACGCUGAGGCUCGAAAGUGUGGGUAGCAAACAGGAUUAGAUACCCUGGUAGUCCACACCGUAAACGAUGAUUACUAGGUGUUGGAGGAUUGACCCCUUCAGUGCCGCAGUUAACACAAUAAGUAAUCCACCUGGGGAGUACGACCGCAAGGUUGAAACUCAAAGGAAUUGACGGGGGCCCGCACAAGCAGUGGAGUAUGUGGUUUAAUUCGACGCAACGCGAAGAACCUUACCAAGUCUUGACAUCCUGCGACGGACAUAGAAAUAUGUUUUUCCUUCGGGACGCAGAGACAGGUGGUGCAUGGUUGUCGUCAGCUCGUGUCGUGAGAUGUUGGGUUAAGUCCCGCAACGAGCGCAACCCUUAUGGUCAGUUACUACGCAAGAGGACUCUGGCCAGACUGCCGUUGACAAAACGGAGGAAGGUGGGGAUGACGUCAAAUCAUCAUGCCCUUUAUGACUUGGGCUACACACGUACUACAAUGGCGUUAAACAAAGAGAAGCAAGACCGCGAGGUGGAGCAAAACUCAGAAACAACGUCCCAGUUCGGACUGCAGGCUGCAACUCGCCUGCACGAAGUCGGAAUUGCUAGUAAUCGCAGAUCAGCAUGCUGCGGUGAAUACGUUCCCGGGCCUUGUACUCACCGCCCGUCA
RNAcentral lists this ribosomal RNA (1384 nucleotides) under uncultured bacterium. RNAcentral's name for it is "bacterial SSU rRNA". It matches the Rfam family "Bacterial small subunit ribosomal RNA". The record is from RNAcentral.